This 463-nucleotide ribosomal RNA is filed under the name uncultured bacterium. RNAcentral describes it as "SSU rRNA". It matches the Rfam family "Bacterial small subunit ribosomal RNA", at positions 26 to 518 of the family's 1533-position model. The record is from RNAcentral.
AGGAUUAACGCUGGCGGCGUGCCUAACACAUGCAAGUCGAACGAGGUAGCAAUACCUAGUGGCAGACGGGUGAGUAACACGUGGUCAACCUACCGCUUUGUGGGGAUAACUAGCCGAAAGGUUAGCUAAUACCGCAUACGUCGCAGGCCGGCAUCGGUCGACGAUAAAAGGAGCAAUCCGCAAGGUGACGGGACCGCGUCCCAUUAGCUAGUUGGUGAGGUAAUGGCCCACCAAGGCUCCGAUGGGUAGCUGGUUUGAGAGAGCGACCAGCCACACUGGGACUGAGAUACGGCCCAGACUCCUACGGGAGGCAGCAGUGAGGAAUUUUCCGCAAUGGGCGAAAGCCUGACGGAGCGACGCCGCGUGUGGGAAGAAGGCCUUCGGGUCGUAAACCACUGUCGAAGGGGAGAUAUUGACGGUACCCUUGGAGGAAGCCCCGGCUAACUACGCGCCGAGCAGCCGC